AUGGCGAAGCAGGCGUUGCUGGCGGUGAUCUUGGUGCAUAUCUGCGGCGUCAUGGCGGCCGCGAGCAGGACGCUGCGCGGGGACGACUGGCUGGAGGACAGCGUUCAGACGGUGGUGAUGCAGAUCUUCGGCGGCUCCAAGUCCGGGGGAAGCGGCGGCACACACUGCUGCUGA
RNAcentral lists this ribosomal RNA (174 nucleotides) under Triticum aestivum (bread wheat). Its description in RNAcentral is "partial small subunit ribosomal RNA". The record is from RNAcentral. Lineage: Eukaryota; Viridiplantae; Streptophyta; Magnoliopsida; Poales; Poaceae.